RNAcentral lists this non-coding RNA (93 nucleotides) under human gut metagenome. RNAcentral describes it as "S10-Clostridia ribosomal protein leader". It matches the Rfam family "S10-Clostridia ribosomal protein leader". The record is from RNAcentral.
UGAUAGCUGUGAAGCGUGAGGUUGCUUCAUUACUCUGGGUACUAUGAGUUAUGAAGGUUUUCCGUGGAGCGAAUGUCAAUUAACCGACGACAA